GCUCCCAUGGCGUAGUGGUCACUGCGCUCGCUGUUCAUGCGGGAGACCCGGGUUCGAUUCCCGGCGGGGUCA
Molecule: transfer RNA, 72 nt
Filed under: Diaphorina citri (Asian citrus psyllid)
Lineage: Eukaryota; Metazoa; Arthropoda; Insecta; Hemiptera; Psyllidae
Rfam family: tRNA
About the family: Transfer RNA (tRNA) molecules are approximately 80 nucleotides in length. Their secondary structure includes four short double-helical elements and three loops (D, anti-codon, and T loops).
Source: Rfam by way of RNAcentral